AGCGAACGCUGGCGGCAGGCUUAACACAUGCAAGUCUAGCGGGCAUCCUUGUGGUGUCAGCGGCAGACGGGUGAGUAACGCGUGGGAACGUGCCCUUCGGUUCGGAAUAACUCAGGGAAACUUGAGCUAAUACCGGAUACGUGCGAGAGCAGAAAGGUUUAUCUGCCGAAGGAUCGGCCCGCGUCUGAUUAGCUAGUUGGUGAGGUUAUGGCUCACCAAGGCGACGAUCAGUAGCUGGUCUGAGAGGAUGAUCAGCCACACUGGGAGUGAGACACGGCCCAGAAUCCUACGGGGGGCAGCAGGGGGGAAUAGUGGACGAUGGGGGCAACCUUGAGCAAGCCAUGCAGCGUGAGUGAUGACGGCGUUAGGGUUGUAAAGCUCUUUUAUCCGGGACGAUAAUGACGGUACAGGAGGAAUAAGCCCAGGCUAACUUCGUG
This 437-nucleotide ribosomal RNA is filed under the name uncultured bacterium. RNAcentral's name for it is "partial 16S ribosomal RNA". It matches the Rfam family "Bacterial small subunit ribosomal RNA", at positions 29 to 507 of the family's 1533-position model. The record is from RNAcentral.